GCAUGCCUAACACAUGCAAGUCGAACGGUAACAGCAGAGCUUGCUCUGGCUGACGAGUGGCGGACGGGUGAGUAACGCGUAGGAAUCUGCCUAGUAGUGGGGGAUAGCCCGAGGAAACUCGGAUUAAUACCGCAUACGUACUAAGGUACAAAGAGGGCCUCUUCUUGAAAGCUCUCGCUAUUAGAUGAGCCUGCGUAAGAUUAGCUUGUUGGUGGGGUAAUGGCCUACCAAGGCAACGAUCUUUAGCUGGUCUGAGAGGAUGAUC
Molecule: ribosomal RNA, 265 nt
Filed under: uncultured bacterium
Lineage: Bacteria
Description: partial 16S ribosomal RNA
Rfam family: Bacterial small subunit ribosomal RNA
Source: RNAcentral